UCUUUGAUGGUCUAACGGUCAUGAUUUCCGCUUGUACGUUCCCUCUUCAUUCGCUGAAAUAUCACCAGCUAAUCCAACUUCAGGUCAUAACAGACACAGCGCGGGAGAUCGGGGUUCGACUCCCCGUCAGAGAG
This 134-nucleotide transfer RNA is filed under the name Cadophora sp. DSE1049. RNAcentral's name for it is "tRNA-Tyr". Lineage: Eukaryota; Fungi; Ascomycota; Leotiomycetes; Helotiales; Ploettnerulaceae. The record is from RNAcentral.